GACGAACGCUGGCGGCGUGCUUAACACAUGCAAGUCGAACGAGGCCCCGCCUUCGGGUGGGUGUUCUAGUGGCGAACGGGUGAGUAACACGUGGGCAACCUGCCCCCGGCUCUGGGAUAACUCCAAGAAAUUGGGGCUAAUACCGGAUAUGACCGCUGACCGCAUGGUCUGGGGGGGGCAAGAUUUAUCGGCUGGGGAUGGGCCCGCGGCCUAUCAGCUUGUUGGUGGGGUAGUGGCCUACCAAGGCGACGACGGGUAGCCGGCCUGAGAGGGUGACCGGCCACACUGGGACUGAGACACGGCCCAGACUCCUACGGGAGGCAGCAGUGGGGAAUAUUGCGCAAUGGGCGGAAGCCUGACGCAGCGACGCCGCGUGGGGGAUGACGGCCUUCGGGUUGUAAACCUCUUUCAGCAGGGACGAAGCGCAAGUGACGGUACCUGCAGAAGAAGCACCGGCCAGCUACGUGCCAGCAGCCGCGGUAA
Molecule: ribosomal RNA, 483 nt
Filed under: uncultured bacterium
Lineage: Bacteria
Description: partial 16S ribosomal RNA
Rfam family: Bacterial small subunit ribosomal RNA
Source: RNAcentral